Molecule: ribosomal RNA, 609 nt
Filed under: uncultured rumen bacterium
Lineage: Bacteria
Description: bacterial SSU rRNA
Rfam family: Bacterial small subunit ribosomal RNA
Source: RNAcentral
CGCUGGCGGCGUGCCUAACACAUGCAAGUCGAACGGAAGUUUAACGCUGACGAGACUUCGGUCAAAUCUUGUUAAACUUUAGUGGCGGACGGGUGAGUAACGCGUGGGCAACCUGCCUCAUACUGGGGGAUAACAGUUGGAAACGACUGUUAAUACCGCAUAAGCGCACAGAGUCGCAUGACUCAGUGUGAAAAACUCCGGUGGUAUGAGAUGGGCCCGCGUCAGAUUAGCCAGUUGGCGGGGUAACGGCCCACCAAAGCGACGAUCUGUAGCCGGACUGAGAGGUCGGACGGCCACAUUGGGACUGAGACACGGCCCAAACUCCUACGGGAGGCAGCAGUGGGGGAUAUUGCACAAUGGAGGAAACUCUGAUGCAGCGACGCCGCGUGAGUGAAGAAGUAUUUCGGUAUGUAAAGCUCUAUCAGCAGGGAAGAAAGGCUCGCAAGAGAGAUGACGGUACCUGACUAAGAAGCCCCGGCUAACUACGUGCCAGCAGCCGCGGUAAUACGUAGGGGGCAAGCGUUAUCCGGAUUUACUGGGUGUAAAGGGAGCGCAGACGGCUUAGCAAGUCUGAAGUGAAACCCCACGGCUCAACCGUGGGCUUGCUUU